This 74-nucleotide transfer RNA is filed under the name Christinus marmoratus. Its description in RNAcentral is "tRNA-Trp". It matches the Rfam family "tRNA". From Rfam's summary of the family: Transfer RNA (tRNA) molecules are approximately 80 nucleotides in length. Their secondary structure includes four short double-helical elements and three loops (D, anti-codon, and T loops). Lineage: Eukaryota; Metazoa; Chordata; Lepidosauria; Squamata; Gekkonidae. The record is from RNAcentral.
AGAAAUUUAGGUUAUCACACCAUAAACCAAUAGCCUUCAAAGCUGUAAACAUGAGUAAAACCUCAUAAUUUCUG